Molecule: long non-coding RNA, 734 nt
Organism: Drosophila yakuba
Lineage: Eukaryota; Metazoa; Arthropoda; Insecta; Diptera; Drosophilidae
Exons: 2
Source: RefSeq, a predicted model, not a curated record
AACUUAGUUUUUUUAAUAGGAAGUAAACAGAAUUAGUUUUGUAACUAUUUUCUAACACACGCUAUCACCUCUAGUUCACCAGCUAUCACCACGAGUUCAGAUUCACACAGAAAGAAAAUCACGACAACAAAUAGCUCACUGUAUCAAAUCAAACGCAAAUGAAACCACAAGUUGAGUCUAUAGACAUUUGAAUCGAGAUCCAAAGGCGAUGAAGCACUUUCGCAUGGGGAUCCCUCAUCUGGCGCCAUAAACUGAAGAUCUCGUGAGGUGAAGAGACCUCCAAGAUGUUCGUGUUUUCGUGUCCCAAUGCGGAAGUUGGGCCACACAUAAAUGUUUCUUUGUCCAACAACUGUAUUAGCCAGCAUCCAACUCGCAGAGCAGCCAGCUCAACACCCGCAUCAAUUGAUCAGCACUCCUGGAGCAAUUACGAUCGCCGCCCGCUGACUUCGCCGCGGAGUUUCCAUGUGGUUAGCAUUUUUUGUUAAAUAAAAUCAAAUCCAAUCAUAAAUAAAUUUAAACUCGUUUGACCACAAACUUAAGCCAAAUGAACACACACAGGCGCACAUGAACUUAUAUCCACAUAUAGAAAAUCCCGAUUGGCAUGUAAGAAGCGUGCAGGUUUUAAUGCGAAUCAAGAUUACACGGCGAAAAAACUACAGACCAAUGAAAGGUUAAAUAAGAAUGUCUAAAUUACUAUUUCAGCAAAUAAAAAAAGACUUAAGAAGAAACAUUAA